RNAcentral lists this ribosomal RNA (107 nucleotides) under Aeromonas salmonicida. RNAcentral's name for it is "partial 16S ribosomal RNA". It matches the Rfam family "Bacterial small subunit ribosomal RNA", at positions 1 to 98 of the family's 1533-position model. RNAcentral also lists the same sequence under 2 other names. The record is from RNAcentral. Lineage: Bacteria; Pseudomonadati; Pseudomonadota; Gammaproteobacteria; Aeromonadales; Aeromonadaceae.
ACUUAAAUUGAAGAGUUUGAUCAUGGCUCAGAUUGAACGCUGGCGGCAGGCCUAACACAUGCAAGUCGAGCGGCAGCGGGAAAGUAGCUUGCUACUUUUGCCGGCGA